RNAcentral lists this long non-coding RNA (205 nucleotides) under Elaeis guineensis (African oil palm). RNAcentral describes it as "long non-coding RNA (EGUI_LNC060261)". The record is from RNAcentral. Lineage: Eukaryota; Viridiplantae; Streptophyta; Magnoliopsida; Arecales; Arecaceae.
CAGCUUCUCUGACGUAGGUGGAUUUUUGCACCAACAAGAUUGGCGCUAGAGGAAGGGGGUGUGUCUUCGCAGUACCCUUGUUCUUAAAGAAGCGCUCAACGGGACCGCCUCCGGCCAUCUUUUUUGACAUCCUCUCCUCCUUCCCCCACUAGAUCUUCACCCGAUGCUUCCCUGCAAAGCAUCCGCACGACAACCCACGGCCUCC